AUUGAACGCUGGCGGCAGGCCUAACACAUGCAAGUCGAACGGUAACAGGAAGAAGCUUGCUUCUUUGCGGACGAGUGGCGGACGGGUGAGAAAUGUCUGGGAAACUGCCUUAUGGAGGGGGAUAACUACGGGAAACGGUAGCUAAUACCGCAUAACUUCGCAAGACCAAAAAGGGGGACCUUCAGGCCUCUUGCCAGCGGAUGUGACCAGAUGGGAUUAGCUAGUAGGUGGGGUAACGGCUAACCUAGGCGACGAUCCCUAGCGGGUCUGAGAGGAUGACCAGCCACACUGGAACUGAGACACGGUCCAGACUCCUACGGGAGGCAGCAGUGGGGAAUCUUGCGCAAUGGGCGCAAGCCUGAUGCAGCCAUGCCGCGUGUAUGAAGAAGGCCUUCGGGUUGUAAAGCACUUUUAGCGGGGAGGAAGGGAGUAAUGUUUAUCCCUGUGCUUCUUGACGUUACCCGCACAGAAAGCCCCGGCUAACUACGUG
Molecule: ribosomal RNA, 490 nt
Filed under: uncultured bacterium
Lineage: Bacteria
Description: partial 16S ribosomal RNA
Rfam family: Bacterial small subunit ribosomal RNA
Source: RNAcentral